Non-coding RNA from Acanthosepion pharaonis, 114 nucleotides. The record is from the annotation of a GenBank genome assembly. NCBI's taxonomy places the organism in Eukaryota, Metazoa, Mollusca, Cephalopoda, Sepiida, Sepiidae.
UUACGGCCAAAUCACGUUGAAACAGCCGUUCUUGUACGAUCACUGAAGUUAAGCAACGUCGAACCUUGUCAGUACCUAGAUGGAUGACCGCUUGGGUAUACCAGGUGUUGUAAG